RNAcentral lists this non-coding RNA (27 nucleotides) under Mus musculus (house mouse). Lineage: Eukaryota; Metazoa; Chordata; Mammalia; Rodentia; Muridae. The record is from RNAcentral.
UUAGAUGAUUAUAUUGAUGCAGAAGAC